AAAUCAACCCUGGCAGGGUGAAUUUCGUACAUAUGUAAAUUUAUAUAAUAUAUAUUUGGACUUAUAACUUGUAAUAAAUGUGCAAAAUGGACACGUUUAAGGAGCUACAUGUCUUGCUAAACUUACAAAGUUUUUACUUGCGGAAAUAGUUCGGAUUGUAGACUACUGGUAGCACCGUUCCCGGGAUUAGCUUUCUCGCAUGAUUUUAAUAUAGGUAGGAUAGAAGACAACAAUUGCAGGAAAGGCAGGCUAUUCAUACUUGACGCAGAAACGCUACAAAACUCAAUCGAUAAUGGACAAAGAACUAAACCGCCUACUCCAAUUUGCGAACAGCUUUAUUCUUCAUGUGAAAGACAAAAUAAAGAGUGUAGCAGUGCAGCUUGCUGGUAUGUAGAGUAUCUAGCAACACUGGGUGUAACAUCGUCAAAGUGAGUCUUGCCGAAAUUAUUAAUUAUUUAAUUUUAUUAUUUUAAAUUAAUUUUUUCUUCUACUGAAGCAAUUUCAUUAAUUCCUUUGAGUAAGAUUUUGUUAUAAAAUAUGUUAUGUAUUCCAAAUUCCAAAAAAUGUAAAUCAUUUCCAAGCAGAUUUUUAAUAAAACUUCGAUCAGCAGCGGCGUAAUCAACUGUAAUUACCUACAAACGAUGUACACGAAACGUCGAACCACAAAUAAACCAUUCAAAAAGUCAAAUUAAAUCUCAGGUGCCUUAACCAAAAUCUCAUUAAAAAGCCAUUUGCGAAGGUGUUCUUCACAUAGUUUUUAAAUGAAAUUUAAAAUAUUGCCGAGUUGUAAUAUUAUAAGACUUAUUAAAGAAAACGAUGAAAAUAAAUCACAAAAGAAAU
Long non-coding RNA from Ceratitis capitata (Mediterranean fruit fly), 840 nucleotides. RefSeq lists it as uncharacterized. Lineage: Eukaryota; Metazoa; Arthropoda; Insecta; Diptera; Tephritidae. The record is from RefSeq and is a predicted model, not a curated record. The transcript is spliced from 2 exons.